Molecule: unclassified non-coding RNA, 245 nt
Filed under: Basidiomycota sp.
Lineage: Eukaryota; Fungi; Basidiomycota
Description: partial contains small subunit ribosomal RNA, internal transcribed spacer 1, and 5.8S ribosomal RNA
Rfam family: Eukaryotic small subunit ribosomal RNA (bases 1-47)
Source: RNAcentral
AAAGUCGUAACAAGGUUUCCGUAGGUGAACCUGCGGAAGGAUCAUUAUCGAGUUCAAACCGGGGCGUUCUGCUGCUGGCCGUCAAAGGCAUGUGCGCGUUCGCUCUCGCGUUCACUCACCCCUGUGCACCUUUGGAGGUUGACGAAAGUCGCCUCUCCCUACACAAACACAUAACAGUCUAUAGAAUGUAACUUUUGCUUUAACGCAUUAACAUACAACUUUCAACAACGGAUCUCUUGGCUCUC